Long non-coding RNA from Danio rerio (zebrafish), 1820 nucleotides. NCBI's taxonomy places the organism in Eukaryota, Metazoa, Chordata, Actinopteri, Cypriniformes, Danionidae. The record is from Ensembl.
AAAAUAACUAAAUUUUCAUGUAUUCAUUUAUUUUUGGUUGGUAAAUCAUUGCAAACUAAAGAAAAAAGCCACAUUUUGUAGAGGAAGCUAACAUGCUAACUGGUUUUACCUUAGCACACCAUCAGAAUGCAAAAAUAUAUGAGGAUACUUAGUUUUGCUUUAAGAGUUUUAGUGUUAUCUUUAAUGCAUUUUAUGUUUUUCAGCACUCUCUACCAGUGCAAGCACUCCAAUAACAUCCCAUACAAGUAAUGUAUUAUUAUGUGCAGGUCCCUAAAUAUUUUAUACAGAUGGUUUUAUCGUUAUAUUGUAGAUAUAUUGUAAAAAUCAACAUUUUAAUAUUCUAAGUAUUAAGCAUCAGCACAUGAGAACCUUUGUAAAACUAUUAAGAAAUCUUAAUAAAUGUUUGACUCUUGUUAUGUUUUUUUUUUUUUUUUUUUUUUUUUUUUAUCAAAAUGUCCCAGCAGCCACUGACUCUUCUUCAACUGGAUCUCAAACAUCCACUCCUUCAAGUGAAUAUUUUUCUCCAUGGAUUAUUUUGUAAACAUUUUAAUUAAAAAUAUAUAUAUAUUAGAAGUUAUACAAUGGCUGUCACACUUGCUCCUCAUUAGUUUUAUCAUUCCAAAAACAUGUGUCCAGUUGCAUUAGAUUUUAUAGCUUAAAAAAGGUGAUAGAGAAGCUAAAAUGCUGAUGAUUGUUUUUAAUCUUAGCACAAUGCCUAAGUACACAAGUAUUUGAGAAUAACAUUUUACUCAUUCUUUGUUUUGUUUAUUUUAUUUUUAAGUAAUUUUCUGCUUUUUGGAAAAGCCACCUUUAUUCAUAGCAAUAAUUGCUGUAUGAUCAUUUAGAAAACUUAUCUGAAUUGAUAUAUUAUUUUAUUAAAAUUUCUUGCAAUAGAUAAUUUGAUUUCAUUUUUUCCCCUCUAAAAUAAAAGCCACUGUCACGACACAUACUUCUUCAACUGAGUCUCCAACUUCAACUUCUUCAAGCACUGACACGACAGACUACACUUCAACUGACUCUCAAACAUCAACUCCAACAUCAACAUCCCAUACCAUUACAAGUUCUCAUACAACUCAAUCAACAGGACCUACAUCCACUGAAACAACAGACUCUUCAACCCAAACAUCAGGCUCAACCCAAACAUCAGGUUCAACCCAAACAUCAGGCUCAACUCAAACAUCAGGCUCAACCCAAACAUCAAGCUCAACCCAAACAUCAGGCUCAACUCAAACAUCAGGCUCAACCCAAACAUCAAGCUCAACCCAAACAUCAAGCUCAACCCAAACAUCAGGCUCAACCCAAACAUCAGGCUCAAUUCAAACAUCAGGUUCAGCUCAAACAUCAGGCUCAACUCAAACAUCAGGUUCAACUCAAACAUCAGGCUCAACUCAAACAUCAGGCUCAACUCAAACAUCAGGCUCAACUCAAACAUCAGGUUCAACUCAAACAUCAGUGUCUUCGAGUAAGUGUUUAUAUCAAUGUAUUACAUAAAAUUACCAUUAGAUACCUGGAACUUAAAGAAAUCGGAUGGAUAGAUGAAUGGAUGGAUGGAUGGAUGGAUGGAUGGAUGGAUUCUGAUACUGUUUCUGUUAUCAUAUGAAGAAAUUUUUAGAAACUUGCGAUUCUAUGUCUUUAAUUUUCAAAUUUCCCAGCAGCCACUGCCACAACAUACACUCCUCCAAUGCCAUCAUCUGCUUCUUCAAGUGAGUAUUUUUAUUUUCUGAAUAUUGUGUGACCAUUUUAAUUGUACAUUUAUUUAUUUAUUUAUUUAUUUAUUUAUUUAGGUUUUAAUGCCAUAUCAGCAGCAUUGGCUAUAUUCA